AAUAUAUUUUUUUAACUUCUUGAAUUUUAGUAAUAAGGAGAUAAACUUGACUCAAUCUAAACUAAGGACGGACAAAGAUUUUUGAUACAGCUCUGAAACUUUCCACUGCUUUUAGAACAGAAGGUACAAACAGAUCAAGGCGGUGUACAUCUUCAAGUUCUGCGUUUUGUGAUGUGCAUGAAGCAAAAUGAGAAUGAAUUCCAGGGAUUGCAUAAGGGAAACGUGUAAGUAAAACACAUGAACAUAUGAACGUAUAAUUUAUGUUUAAAUAAGCCUUUCCAGCCAAACGAAUGUUUUCAUAGCAGGGUCAGAUAAAGACAAAGU
This 324-nucleotide long non-coding RNA is filed under the name Anas platyrhynchos platyrhynchos (common mallard). RNAcentral describes it as "lncRNA (ENSAPLG00000016852.1)". The record is from RNAcentral. Lineage: Eukaryota; Metazoa; Chordata; Aves; Anseriformes; Anatidae.